GACGUAGGGCGCGAGCGUUGUCCGGAAUUAUUGGGCGUAAAGAGCUCGUAGGCGGUUUGUUGCGUCGGCUGUGAAAUCCCGAGGCUCAACCUCGGGUCUGCAGUCGAUACGAGCAAACUAGAGUGUUGCAGGGGAGACUGGAAUUCCUGGUGUAGCGGUGAAAUGCGCAGAUAUCAGGAAGAACACCCGUGGCGAAGGCGGCUCUCUGGGAAUAUCCUGACGCUGAGGAGCGAAAGUGUGGGGAGCGAACAGG
This 253-nucleotide ribosomal RNA is filed under the name uncultured bacterium. RNAcentral's name for it is "partial 16S ribosomal RNA". It matches the Rfam family "Bacterial small subunit ribosomal RNA", at positions 524 to 776 of the family's 1533-position model. The record is from RNAcentral.